GAAAUGCUCUAUGUGAGAGAGCAAGCUUGAGCUUUGUCGUUCUGGGCUGGGGUGACGUGUAGAAAUGCCUGAACCACGUAAUCACGGGACGGAAGAGAAGCUGCUGCAACAGAUACAUACCACUGCAGAGGUGUGCAGCUGAGGAAGCAGGUCCCCAGAGUUUGGCCCAGCAGGGAAUAAAAGCCCCGUUUCACCUUUCUCUUCAUGCCAAUCUUCUUUUCUCUGGGUCAUUUUAAUGAAAACAUGGUUUGAACGGGAGAAAAAAGGAUACAAGGAAUAUGUCAGAGAGAGAUCUGAGCCUGGAGCUGAAGGGCAGAGAUAAACGCAGGUCCUGGCUCUGAUUCUAGCCCCUAAGAAAUAUAUAUUUCAAUCAAGAAUUUAAGAAUUGAUAAGCAAACUUGACGGCGAUACCUCUACCUGGAACAGAAUAGGGACUCUGGAAAUAGACCCACGUGUAUAUGGUCAACUGAUUUUCAACAAGGACGGUAAGGCAAUUCAAUGGGAGAAAGGAAAAUCUUUUCAACAAAUUUUGCUGGAAUAACUACAUAGCCAUUUGGGGAAAAAAAUUAACAUUGACCCUUACUUCACACUAGACACAAAAAUUAACUCAAAAUGAAUGAC
This 621-nucleotide long non-coding RNA is filed under the name Equus caballus (horse). RNAcentral's name for it is "lncRNA (ENSECAG00000051960.1)". Lineage: Eukaryota; Metazoa; Chordata; Mammalia; Perissodactyla; Equidae. The record is from RNAcentral.